This 349-nucleotide unclassified non-coding RNA is filed under the name Hevea brasiliensis (rubber tree). The record is from RNAcentral. Lineage: Eukaryota; Viridiplantae; Streptophyta; Magnoliopsida; Malpighiales; Euphorbiaceae.
UAAUAUAAUUGCAAGCUCCUAACUUGCAGCCAGAAAUCCUUAAUGCAGUUAAGGUACGAGCAGUAAAGACAGUUUGAGGCAAAUAGUAACUACUAUUUUUCUUGCUUGGGAUAUAGAGAUCUAACUCUUGUAUGUUGCUUUUAGUUGUAGUACCUAUCCACUGAUUCAAAAGAUCAGAUAAUUCCAAAUUAUAGGAGGUUAAAUGAAGCAUGAAUUUCUGUAUGCUAGAUUUUUGCUCAAUGCGGCUCUGCAGGGUGCCAUCAACAAAAUUCAGAAACAUUUCAUUCUUCAUCUUUAUUGCCGCAUCUUUUCUCUUUUUGAUCCUUUGAUAGAGCCUCUUAGAGCGAUA